AUUGAACGCUGGCGGCAUGCCUUACACAUGCAAGUCGAACGGCAGCGGACCUUCGGGUGCCGGCGAGUGGCGAACGGGUGAGUAAUAUAUCGGAACGUACCUUUCAGUGGGGGAUAACGUAGCGAAAGUUACGCUAAUACCGCAUAUUCUGUGAGCAGGAAAGCAGGGGAUCGCAAGACCUUGCGCUGAUUGAGCGGCCGAUAUCAGAUUAGCUAGUUGGUGAGGUAAAGGCUCACCAAGGCGACGAUCUGUAGCGGGUCUGAGAGGAUGAUCCGCCACACUGGAACUGAGACACGGUCCAGACUCCUACGGGAGGCAGCAGUGGGGAAUUUUGGACAAUGGGCGCAAGCCUGAUCCAGCCAUGCCGCGUGAGUGAAGAAGGCCUCGGUUGUAAGUACCGUCGUCGUAGGGGACGGAAGG
Molecule: ribosomal RNA, 420 nt
Filed under: uncultured bacterium
Lineage: Bacteria
Description: bacterial SSU rRNA
Rfam family: Bacterial small subunit ribosomal RNA
Source: RNAcentral